Molecule: long non-coding RNA, 4900 nt
Filed under: Arachis ipaensis
Lineage: Eukaryota; Viridiplantae; Streptophyta; Magnoliopsida; Fabales; Fabaceae
Description: long non-coding RNA (AIPA_LNC002287)
Source: RNAcentral
AUAAUAAUACCUUGCUUCUAAUUAUGUCACAGCUUGUUGGGAAGUUUCUGUGUUAGUAGGGGAGAAAGGAAUUCUAUAUGUAUAUAUGGAGCUCCUUAAUUAAACAAGGGGAGAAAGGAAUUCUAUAUGUAUAUAUGUCACAUAAAAUACAAGAAGAAAAGGAGAGAGUAGUGAAUCUUACCAGGGAUAAGAGAGAAAUGGCUGAAGAUGUCAGAAACGCUGGUGACGAGAAGAGCGGCGAACGACGGGAAGAGAGCAAACGGAACAGGGCGCACGAGGCAGUGCGGUGAUGAUGCAGUCUGGGUCGGCUGAAACGGACAGUGACGAGGCCGUGACGAUGGUGGUCGGAGGUUGCUGGCUGGGAGCCUGGGACGACGGAGAGAAUGCAGAGACGAAGAAGAGUUAGGGCUGGGAACUCGAAGGUUUAGAGAAACUGGUGUAGUUUGAACGGAUUAAGUGAAUCAGGAAAAAUUUUAUUGAACUUGAAAACAGAGUGUAAUAUAUGUCGAUAAAGGCACUAGUAAGUGAAAAUCAUAACAAAUGAGUUAUAACUCAAAUGGCAUAGUUUUGGAUAGUCAUUUAAGAAAUUGCGUGUUUGAGUCUCUAUUUUUGGUGAAAAAAUAAGUGAAAAUCAUAACAAAGUAAAAAACAAGUGAAAAUCAUAACAAAAUAAAAGAACUUUAGACAGUUUACCAACAAUAUUACAUUUUGGCAAAUGCUGAUGUGUUUCAAAAAAGACAUUAAAUCCAAAACCUUAAAUAUUUUCUAAAUCCUAAAAUUUUAAGCUUUAGAUCCUAAUUUUUAAUUCUAAACAGUAAUUUUAAAUUCUAAAUCUAAAUUAUUAAUAUAAAAUAUAAUAAUUUUACAUGUACAAUAUUUUUACUUAAUAAGGAGUAUUUAUGGAUGAGAUUUGCAUUUUACAUAUUUGAAAAUUUCAUCUCUUAACAAUGCAACCCCUUGGUUCAUUUAUUUGAAUAUCUUGAGAAUUUGGAAAAACUACGGGUCAAAGAACGUGGUAAUAGAUUUUCCAGGACCUAAUACAUGUGCACAGCACAUCACUAAUUUAUGUAAUGGGAAAAAAUGGUGUGGAAAAUUUCAAGCAAUAAAUAAAUAAAUCAAAUUUGAGAGUUUAACAUCACCAAAAUAUAAAAAACAGCUGAAUAUGAAUCAACAAAACAAAAUUAUCUUCUUCAAAGGCAUAAUAAUGAAGCAAAUCUCUCUGACAUGUCCAUUUUUUACACAAGAGGUGAGAAACCGUAGGAGAAAGACAGAAAGUGUCCAUGUGAUGAUGAAUGCUUUUGCUUUGAAGACUCAGGUAUCAUCUACUUGUGAAUGGAACACAAAGCUUGGGAAUGUUGUGGUGAUAUCCCUGCUCAUCAUACAAACCAAAAUAAUCAUCAUUGUAAAACAAUACAUCUUUUUUUCAUAAUUUCAUUUAUAUGAUUGUAAAUAAAUUAAUUCGUAUCCUGUUCAAGAAAGUUCUCAGCAAAUUCAAUUUUAUGUCAUUAUAUUGUUCUCAACACAUACUAAGAAACUUUAAAAGGGUUUUAGUGAUCAAUAACAAACUUUCUUUCCUAAUUGCCAUUAUUUUUCUUUGUACAUUUUAUUUUAUACCAAUGCCAUGGUCUUCUUCAAUUUUAGAUUCCUAGGAACUAGGAAGUUGAGAGAUCAUAAGUUAGAAAAUUACUUGAGAUAUUGAAGGGUCAUGUUUUUCAGAAGCGAUGGAUGGCGCAAAACAAGGCUUCUCCACUCCUCUUUGUCGAUCUUGCCGUCAUGCUUUGUGUCAGCUUCCUCAAAAGUCUGAAGACAUUCAUCCAAAAUUUAGUGUUAAAUGGAGUGACUUGAGACCAAAAAAUAAAAGAACAAAGUAAAAUGAAAGCAAAAAAGAGAGUUGGACAUGAGGGUCGCACCUUGUCGAUUAUACUCUCUAUAACAUCAUCCGAUAGGUUCAUGCCAGAUUCGGCAAGUGUAGCAACUACCAUUUGCUUCACCUUUAGAGGAAAAGAAAAGCAUAUUAAAAUCAUGAUUGUCCCAAAUAAGGAUCAAAAUCUUUAAUUUAUCAAAUCUAAGAAGGCUAUUACCUCUUGCCUUUCAAUGAAACCCUGCUGCUUGAGAUCAUACAAUUGAAAGGAAACUGAAACAAUAGAUAAUACAGUUUUAGUUUUCGUUUGUUAAAAAUGAAAGGAUUGGUUCAAAUCUUGCAUCAUCCUUAAUUCAAAAAGACGAGUGAUAAAAAAUUCGGUCCUAAAAUGACGAAUAACAAUUUCAAACAACAUACAUUCAAUCUUAUCAUCGAUAGGGGCAUUUGGAUGGAAAACUGAGAGAGCACGAGCAAACUCUUCGAAACCAAGUAUCCCAUUGUGCUUUGUGUCAAACAAAUCAAAUACCUAAGAGAGAACAGAUUGAGAAGCUCAUACGAGAUACUAACCAUAAUCAGAUCAAGGAAACAGAUAUUGGUUUAAGAAGUUAGAAACAAAUGAAAAGAAGUAAGCAAUACCCGAUCAGCAAAUAAACUCUCUUUUUUAUUCGUCUUGAAUAAUGCCAAUUGGAACUCUUCCUGCAAAUGAUAUAUAUGUAUUAAUGUUAUGGGGAAAAUGCAAUUAAGUAUAACAUCUGGUAGAUAUUUUAAUGGUAAAUCCCUUAUGAUGGGAUAAAAAAGACCUAGGCGAACAAUGGAAUUCAUGGUUUCGUAUAGAAUGACAAGUAAAACAUUUUUUUUCUUUCAUAAAAGGUAUAGGUAUAGAAGGUCAUUGACAUAAUCGUAUGUGCAAGGCACAAGUCAUCAGAUGAGAGAGAAAUCUAACCUUGUUAAUCAGCCCAUCAUCAAUCACGGCACUGCUGAUCUUUUUAAAGAGCUCAUAAAGUGCUUCGAUUUCACUUACGCUAACUGCAUACAGUUGCAGAAAAAUAGUUAGUUAUCACUGGUUCAAGCAAUGUGCAUCCAUUCACAAGUAGUAGCAUGACAUAUAUUAGAAAACAGAAACAAAUUAGAUAUAAAUAUCAUCUGUGUGGUUUCAUUUCUUUUUUUGUUCAUCAAUUCCAAUCAAAUAUUUUCAAAGUCUAAAGGGAAUAAAUCAAGAUACUAGAUUUUAGAAGCAUGUGUAUCCAAACCAAAGAUUCAUUCAUAACAACACAGAAGUAACAGUAAAUGUAUCCGAAUCACAUAGUAAGUUUGAUGCAUACACACUGUUUCCCUCGCAAGGAGUUCAGGAUCUUCAAGGCCUCUUGACUGUUUAUAUAUAUCAAGGUCACAACACCGUAAAAGAGGAGCAAAUAGAUGCCUCAAUCCCUCUAUGCACUGCAACAUGAUAUCUCUCCAAGUUGUAAAUCAAAAUACUCCAUAACUGUUCCAAAAAGAAAUCAAUUAGAUAUUUAAUUUAGUUCUUUCCUAAUGAAAUCAUUGGUGGGUGUAGGGCCAGCUAACCUUUUAACCAUUUCCAACUUCAGCUAAUCAAUCCAAAUGCCAAGAUAUCUUAAUUUGGAGGAACCACUGGGAACAAUAUAUUCCAAUUUCAGAAUUACAAGAAAAAAAAACCUAUAGAGAAAAUAAUUAAAGACAAAACGCCCCCCAAAAAAAAGAUCUGUGCUCUAACUUGGAUUAAAACAUAAUUUCAAAUUACUAAUUACAUCACUCUCAAUGAUCGAAAGUUAUGUAUUACUUUCUUCCAACCACAUGCAAUCAAUCACAUUUUGCACUGCAAGGGGAGUUUUCUCAAAUCCACACAUGUACAUACAUACAUACAUAUUAAAGUCAGGAAUUACAGCACAAAACGGGUGAAAACUUAAGUUUAGAACUAAUACUAUAGUGAAGAGAAAAGAAAGAAGACCAGCAACAUGUGUAGAAUAAUAAAUAACUUCCAAACCCUACAAUGGAACUCAUGCAUGCAACUAAAUAAAGCUUCAGGUUAGAUUGUCAGAUACCAAAAGCCUGCAAAAUUAAGCUAGUUUUCAAUAGAAAAUCCAAAACUGAAGUAGAACCAUUCAUCUUCUAAACCUGCAACAGCCUCAAACUCCUUAAAUCGUUCCAAACGUUUGUAAAAGGCCCCUAGAUUCCACUUAGUGAAUCCUAAUUGCAAUCAAAACUCAUAACUAACACUUACUACAACAAACAGAGAACCUGAAACUUGAGGCCUGAAACACACUUAAUCCUUGUACUAAAGUAGCUCAACCAAUAAAUUAAGCACAAUAAGAAGGUGAAUCAGCUUUAUGUUUAGUCGAUUCAUGUAUCACCGUUUUGGGUUAUAAUUCAAUAUAUAAAUGGUGCAGCAAAUCAGAAUUUUUCAUUCUACAAAAUAUAAAUUAUUAAUACAGAAUAGCAUAGCAUAAAUUCAUCAACAGGCAACAGCUACUAAAAUCAGAAUUCAGAAUUAAUGGAAUAUAAAAAAAUUAAAGUAUGAAAAAAAUGAAAAAACAGCCACCAAUUAUCAGAAAUUCAUAGAACAAAACAUCCAUUAAUAAAAACAACAGCCACCAACUUCAAAAAAUCAAAAUCACCAUCAAAUUCAUGAAAAAAGCAAAAACCUAAACUGAAAUCCCAAAAUACAAGAAGAAAAGGAGAGAGUAGUGAAUCUUACCAGGGAUAAGAGAGAAAUGGCUGAAGAGGUCAGAAACGCCAAUGAAGAGAAGAGCGACGAACGACGGGAAGAGAGCGAACGGAACAGGGCGCACGGGGCGGUGCGGUGAUGAUGCAGUGUGGGCCGGCUGAAACGGACAGUGACGAGGCCGUGACGAUGGUGGUCGGAGGUUGCUGGCUGGGAGCCUGGGACGACGGAGAGAAUGCAGAGACGAAGAAGAGUUAGGGCUGGGAACUCGAAGGUAGGAGGUUGCGGCGCUCUCUGUUUGAAGUGGGAAUUGGGAACUGAGAAGAGGAGUAAGGGAUUUAGGGUUAACUUUUCUAUAU